UAAUACGUAGGCAGCGAGCGUUGUUCGGAGUUACUGGGCGUAAAGCGUGCGUAGGCGGUGUCCUAAGUUUGGUGUGAAAUCUCCCGGCUCAACUGGGAGGGUGCGCCGAAAACUGGGGUGCUGGAGUGUGGGAGAGGUAGGCGGAAUUCCUGGUGUAGCGGUGAAAUGCGUAGAUAUCAGGAGGAACACCUGUGGUGUAGACGGCUUACUGGACCAUGACUGACGCUGAGGCACGAAAGCGUGGGGAGCAAACAGG
RNAcentral lists this ribosomal RNA (256 nucleotides) under uncultured prokaryote. RNAcentral describes it as "partial 16S ribosomal RNA". It matches the Rfam family "Bacterial small subunit ribosomal RNA", at positions 521 to 776 of the family's 1533-position model. The record is from RNAcentral.